UCCCUGGUGGCUCAGAAGGUAGAGAAUCUGCCUGCAAUGCAGGAGACCUGGGUUAGAUCCCUGGGUUGGGAA
This is a transfer RNA of Ovis aries (sheep), 72 nucleotides long. It matches the Rfam family "tRNA". Rfam says of the family: Transfer RNA (tRNA) molecules are approximately 80 nucleotides in length. Their secondary structure includes four short double-helical elements and three loops (D, anti-codon, and T loops). Further hydrogen bonds mediate the characteristic L-shaped molecular structure. tRNAs have two regions of fundamental functional importance: the anti-codon, which is responsible for specific mRNA codon recognition, and the 3' end, to which the tRNAs corresponding amino acid is attached (by aminoacyl-tRNA synthetases). tRNAs cope with the degeneracy of the genetic code in two manners: having more than one tRNA (with a specific anti-codon) for a particular amino acid; and 'wobble' base-pairing, i.e. permitting non-standard base-pairing at the 3rd anti-codon position. The record is from Rfam. NCBI's taxonomy places the organism in Eukaryota, Metazoa, Chordata, Mammalia, Artiodactyla, Bovidae.